AAGAACUUUGAAAAGAGAGUGAAAUAGUGCUUGAAACCGUUGGGAGGAAAGCGAAUGGAGCUGCUAUAUAGACCAAGAAUUCUCAAACCGGCCAAAUUUUAGGAACCCGUUGUAGUGAUCUUGGAUCUACGUUUGCAAAAACUUUUUGUCCUGGCGGUUCAUAACUUUAGAGUUAAUUUACUUAACGUUAUGUAAUGUGUAAACAUUCGAAUGUUAUGCAAAAAUAAAUCUUCUGUGAUGUGACCAGAGACAAAGGUUGAACAAGUCUACAAUGAAAUAAUUUGAUAGACUAAAAAAAUUUUAAAAUAAAAAGCAGACGGAAGGGCUUUAUUCGACCCGUCUUGAAACACGGACCAAGGAGUCUA
This 365-nucleotide ribosomal RNA is filed under the name Hemiselmis tepida. Its description in RNAcentral is "partial Eukaryotic large subunit ribosomal RNA". It matches the Rfam family "Eukaryotic large subunit ribosomal RNA", at positions 369 to 677 of the family's 3401-position model. The record is from RNAcentral. Lineage: Eukaryota; Cryptophyceae; Cryptomonadales; Hemiselmidaceae.